GUUGAUCCUGCCGGAGGCCAUUGCUAUCGGGGUCCGAUUUAGCCAUGCUAGUUGUACGAGUUCACACUCGUAGCAAGUAGCUCCGUAACACGUGGCCAAACUACCCUACAGAGAACGAUAACCUCGGGAAACUGAGGCUAAUAGUUCAUACCCGUCUCCCGCUGGAAUGCCGAGACGUGCAAAUGCUCACGCGCUGUAGGACGUGGCUGCGGCCGAUUAGGUAGACGGUGGGGUAACGGCCCACCGUGCCGAUAAUCGGUACGGGUUGUGAGAGCAAGAACCCGGAGACGGAAUCUGAGACAAGAUUCCGGGCCCUACGGGGCGCAGCAGGCGCGAAACCUUUACACUGCACGCAAGUGCGAUAAGGGGACCCCGAGUGCGAGGGCAUACAGUCCUCGCUUUUCAGUACCGUAGGGAGGUACUGGAAUAAGAGCUGGGCAAGACCGGUGCCAGCCGCCGCGGUAAUACCGGCAGCUCGAGUGAUGGCCGAUUUUAUUGGGCCUAAAGCGUUCGUAGCCGGCCACGCAAGUCCAUCGGGAAAUCCGCCAGCCUAACUGGCGGGCGUCCGGUGGAAACUGUGUGGCUCGGGACCGGAAGACCCGAAGGGUACGUCUUGGGUAGGAGUGAAAUCCUGUAAUCCUGGACGGACCGCCGAUGGCGAAAGCACUUCGGGAAGACGGAUCCGACGGUGAGGAACGAAAGCCAGGGUCUCGAACCGGAUUAGAUACCCGGGUAGUCCUGGCCGUAAACGAUGUCUGCUAGGUGUGACUCCCACUACGAGUGGGUGUUGUGCCGUAGGGAAGCCGCUAAGCAGACCGCCUGGGAAGUACGUCCGCAAGGAUGAAACUUAAAGGAAUUGGCGGGGGAGCACUACAACCGGAGGAGCCUGCGGUUUAAUUGGACUCAACGCCGGACAUCUCACCAGCAUCGACAACAGCAAUGACGGUCAGGUUGAU
Molecule: ribosomal RNA, 956 nt
Filed under: uncultured Haloplanus sp.
Lineage: Archaea; Methanobacteriati; Methanobacteriota; Halobacteria; Halobacteriales; Haloferacaceae
Description: bacterial SSU rRNA
Rfam family: Archaeal small subunit ribosomal RNA
Source: RNAcentral